AACAUGGAGCAGAAGAGACUUCAAUACUUUCAUCAGGGCCUGUGAGAAAUAUGGCCGUAAUGAUAUAAAAUGUAUUGCUACGGAAAUUUAAGGGAAAACAGAGGAGGAAGUUGAAAGAUAUGCUAAAGUUUUCUAAGAGAGAUACAAAGAAUUAAAUGAUUAUGAUAGGAUCAUCAAGAACAUUGAGAGAGGAGAGGCCAGAAUUUCCCCGAGAGAUGAGAUCAUGAAAGCAAUUGGGAAAAAAUUGGAUCGUUACAAGAACCCAUGGUUGGAGUUAAAAAUCCAAUAUGGUCAGAACAAGGGCAAGUUUUACAAUGAGGAAUGCGAUUGUUUUAUGGUGUGCAUGGUUCACAAGAUAGGGUAUGGAAACUGGGAUGACUUGAAAGCAGCUUUCCACACAUCAACUUUGUUUCGUUUUGAUUGGUUCGUCAAGUCUCGAACUGCCCAGGAAUUGGCAAGGAGAUGUGAUACACUUAUUCGGCUAAUUGAGAAGGAAAACCAAUAAUUUGAUGAGAGGGAGAGGCAAACCCGCAAGGAAAAGAAACUUGCCAAGACGAAUAUGCCAUCAAAGCGGGCGCCAGCAAGGCAGGCUGCAGAGAGCCCUCCUACUUCAA
Molecule: long non-coding RNA, 614 nt
Organism: Ipomoea nil (Japanese morning glory)
Lineage: Eukaryota; Viridiplantae; Streptophyta; Magnoliopsida; Solanales; Convolvulaceae
Exons: 4
Source: RefSeq, a predicted model, not a curated record